Molecule: ribosomal RNA, 253 nt
Filed under: uncultured bacterium
Lineage: Bacteria
Description: partial 16S ribosomal RNA
Rfam family: Bacterial small subunit ribosomal RNA
Source: RNAcentral
GACGAACCGUACGAACGUUAUUCGGAAUCAUUGGGCUUAAAGGGUGCGUAGGCGGUGCGGAAAGUUGGGUGUGAAAUCCCUCGGCUCAACCGAGGAAUUGCGCCCAAUACUACCGUGCUCGAGGGAGACAGAGGUAAGCGGAACUUAGGGUGGAGCGGUGAAAUGCGUUGAUAUCCUAAGGAACACCAGUGGCGAAAGCGGCUUACUGGGUCUCUUCUGACGCUGAGGCACGAAAGCUAGGGGAGCAAACGGG